CCCUUAGACGUUCUGGGCCGCACGCGCGCUACACUGACCAGUGCAACAAGCAUCCGUCCUUGGCCGACAGGCCCGGGCAAUCUUUGAACGCUGGUCGUGAUGGGGAUAGACUUUUGCAAUUUUUGGUCUUCAACGAGGAAUUCCUAGUAAACGCAAGUCAUCAACUUGCAUUGAUUACGUCCCUGCCCUUUGUACACACCGCCCGUCGCACCUACCGAUUGAAUGGUCCGGUGAAUCUUUAGGACUGUGGCUGAGGCCUUGCCUUGUGCGGGUCUGGCCGUGGGAAUUUAGUUAAACCUUACCAUUUAGAGGAAGGUGAAGUCGUAACA
This 329-nucleotide ribosomal RNA is filed under the name uncultured eukaryote. RNAcentral's name for it is "partial 18S ribosomal RNA". It matches the Rfam family "Eukaryotic small subunit ribosomal RNA", at positions 1470 to 1796 of the family's 1831-position model. The record is from RNAcentral.